This 201-nucleotide long non-coding RNA is filed under the name Homo sapiens (human). RNAcentral's name for it is "HSALNT0342985". Lineage: Eukaryota; Metazoa; Chordata; Mammalia; Primates; Hominidae. The record is from RNAcentral.
CUCGAUUCACUCAGCUUCAAGUCGGCCAGACUCCAAUGCGCAGGCUCAAUCAGUCAGACUUGGUAUUUGUCUUUCUGGAUCAUGCUGGGGUAUGAUUCUCAUUGCGGACAGAAUAACAACAAGAAGACCUUGAGAAUAAGCAUCAAUUUGUGAGCCCCAAGGGCGAAGAAGCUUUCCUGAAGCAACAACAGGAACAGGAAG